GAUCCUGUAGCUUAGUGGUAGAGUGCGCGUCUUUUUCGAACGCGAGGCCAGGGGUUCAAAUCCCCUCAGGAUCU
RNAcentral lists this transfer RNA (74 nucleotides) under Pithovirus LCPAC304. RNAcentral describes it as "tRNA-Lys". It matches the Rfam family "tRNA". From Rfam's summary of the family: Transfer RNA (tRNA) molecules are approximately 80 nucleotides in length. Lineage: Varidnaviria; Bamfordvirae; Nucleocytoviricota; Megaviricetes; Pimascovirales; Pithoviridae. The record is from RNAcentral.